UACGGGGGGGGCAAGCGUUGUUCGGAAUUACUGGGCGUAAAGGGCGUGUAGGCGGCCAACUAAGUCCGACGUGAAAUCCCCAGGCUUAACCUGGGAACUGCGUCGGAUACUGGAUGGCUUGAAUCCGGGAGAGGGAUGUGGAAUUCCAGGUGUAGCGGUGAAAUGCGUAGAUAUCUGGAGGAACACCGGUGGCGAAGGCGCACAUCUGGCCCGAUACUGACGCUGAGGCGCGAAAGCUAGGGGAGCAAACGGG
This 253-nucleotide ribosomal RNA is filed under the name uncultured bacterium. RNAcentral's name for it is "partial 16S ribosomal RNA". It matches the Rfam family "Bacterial small subunit ribosomal RNA", at positions 524 to 776 of the family's 1533-position model. The record is from RNAcentral.